RNAcentral lists this ribosomal RNA (274 nucleotides) under uncultured bacterium. Its description in RNAcentral is "partial 16S ribosomal RNA". It matches the Rfam family "Bacterial small subunit ribosomal RNA", at positions 523 to 796 of the family's 1533-position model. The record is from RNAcentral.
AUACGGAGGGGGUUAGCGUUGUUCGGAAUUACUGGGCGUAAAGCGCACGUAGGCGGAUUGGAAAGUUGGGGGUGAAAUCCCAGGGCUCAACCCUGGAACUGCCUCCAAAACUAACAGUCUAGAGUUCGAGAGAGGUGAGUGGAAUUCCAAGUGUAGAGGUGAAAUUCGUAGAUAUUUGGAGGAACACCGGUGGCGAAGGCGGCUCACUGGCUCGAUACUGACGCUGAGGUGCGAAAGCGUGGGGAGCAAACAGGAUUAGAAACCCCAGUAGUCC